GAUGAACGCUGGCGGCGUGCCUAAUACAUGCAAGUCGAGCGAACAGACGAGGAGCUUGCUCCUCUGACGUUAGCGGCCGACGGGUGAGUAACACGUGGAUAACCUACCUAUAAGACUGGGAUAACUUCGGGAAACCGGAGCUAAUACCGGAUAAUAUAUUGAACCGCAUGGUUCAAUAGUGAAAGACGGUUUUGCUGUCACUUAUAGAUGGAUCCGCGCCGCAUUAGCUAGUUGGUAAGGUAACGGCUUACCAAGGCAACGAUGCGUAGCCGACCUGAGAGGGUGGUCGGCCACACUGGAUCCGGGACACGGUCCAGAAUCCUACGGGAGGCAGCAGUAGGGAAUCUUCCGGAAUGGGCGAAAGCCUGACGGGACAACGCCGCGUGAGUGAUGAAGGGCUUCGGAUCGUAAAACUCUGUUAUUAGGGAAGAAAAAAUGUGUAAGUAACUAUGCACGUCUUGACGGUACCUAAUCAGAAAGCCGCGGCUAACUACGUG
Molecule: ribosomal RNA, 497 nt
Filed under: uncultured bacterium
Lineage: Bacteria
Description: partial 16S ribosomal RNA
Rfam family: Bacterial small subunit ribosomal RNA
Source: RNAcentral